RNAcentral lists this ribosomal RNA (557 nucleotides) under Bifidobacterium dentium. RNAcentral describes it as "bacterial SSU rRNA". It matches the Rfam family "Bacterial small subunit ribosomal RNA", at positions 146 to 711 of the family's 1533-position model. Lineage: Bacteria; Bacillati; Actinomycetota; Actinomycetes; Bifidobacteriales; Bifidobacteriaceae. The record is from RNAcentral.
UCUCCUGGAAAACGGGUGGUAAUGCCGGAUGCUCCAGUCCAUCGCAUGGUGGUCUGGGAAAGAUUCCAUCGGUAUGGGAUGGGGUCGCGUCCUAUCAGCUUGAUGGCGGGGUAACGGCCCACCAUGGCUUCGACGGGUAGCCGGCCUGAGAGGGCGACCGGCCACAUUGGGACUGAGAUACGGCCCAGACUCCUACGGGAGGCAGCAGUGGGGAAUAUUGCACAAUGGGCGCAAGCCUGAUGCAGCGACGCCGCGUGCGGGAUGGAGGCCUUCGGGUUGUAAACCGCUUUUGAUCGGGAGCAAGCCCUUCGGGGUGAGUGUACCCUUCGAAUAAGCACCGGCUAACUACGUGCCAGCAGCCGCGGUAAUACGUAGGGUGCAAGCGUUAUCCGGAAUUAUUGGGCGUAAAGGGCUCGUAGGCGGUUCGUCGCGUCCGGUGUGAAAGCCCAUCGCUUAACGGUGGGUCUGCGCCGGGUACGGGCGGGCUGGAGUGCGGUAGGGGAGACUGGAAUUCCCGGUGUAACGGUGGAAUGUGUAGAUAUCGGGAAAGAACACCA